GUGCAGGGACAAAAACGCCGGGAGUGUUUUUGAACAACGCAAAGCGUUGGCCCCGAAGGGGCGAGGCCCAUGGAUGGGCCGAGUAAACACCGUCAGG
This is a non-coding RNA of Cronobacter sp., 97 nucleotides long. NCBI's taxonomy places the organism in Bacteria, Pseudomonadati, Pseudomonadota, Gammaproteobacteria, Enterobacterales, Enterobacteriaceae. The record is from Rfam.